AGUGAACGCUGGCGGUAGGCCUAACACAUGCAAGUCGAACGGCAGCACAGUAAGAGCUUGCUCUUACGGGUGGCGAGUGGCGGACGUGUGAGGAAUACAUCGGAAUCUACUUUUUCGGGGGGGAUAACGUAGGGAAACUUACGCUAAUACCGCAUACGCCCUACGGGUGAAAGCAGGGGAUCUUCGGACCUUGCGCGAUUGAAUGAGCCGAUGUCGGAUUAGCUAGUUGGCGGGGUAAAGGCCCACCAAGGCGACGAUCCGUAGCUGGUCUGAGAGGAGGAUCAGCCACACUGGAACUUAGACACGGUCCAGACUACUACGGGAGGCAGCAGUGGGGAAUAGUGGACAAUGGGCGGAAGCCUGAUCCAGCCAUACCGCGUGUGUGAAGAAGGCCUUCGGGUUGUAAAGCCCUUUUGUUGGGAAAGAAAAGCAGCAGGUUAAUACCCCGCUGUUCUGACGGUACCCAAAGAAUAAGCACCGGCUAACUACGUG
Molecule: ribosomal RNA, 492 nt
Filed under: uncultured bacterium
Lineage: Bacteria
Description: partial 16S ribosomal RNA
Rfam family: Bacterial small subunit ribosomal RNA
Source: RNAcentral